AGAGUUAAAUAGUACGUGAAAUUGUUGAAAGGGAAACGAUUAAAGUCAGUCAUGCCGGCGAAAAAUCAGCUUAUAGGCUACUAUGAGUGCACUUUUUCGCAAGGCAGGUUAGCAUCGAUUUUCGUUGCGUUAUAAUGAUUGUGGGAAGGUAGCUCCUUCGGGAGUGUUAUAGCCCGUGAUAGAUGACGUGACAAAGAUCGAGGAUUGCAGCGAAUGCUUUUUGGCUACGUGUCUGGUCUCUGAAUAAUUGUCAAUUUGUCGACAGCUUGCUGACGUAGAGUUGAUGAUUUUCAAAAGAUUCAGAACGCGUUAAAUUCGCUAAGGAUGUUGACGUAAUGGCUUUAAACGACC
This 351-nucleotide ribosomal RNA is filed under the name Paradentiscutata baiana. RNAcentral describes it as "partial large subunit ribosomal RNA". The record is from RNAcentral. Lineage: Eukaryota; Fungi; Glomeromycota; Glomeromycetes; Diversisporales; Gigasporaceae.